This 432-nucleotide RNase MRP RNA is filed under the name Aspergillus niger. Its description in RNAcentral is "rNase MRP". It matches the Rfam family "RNase MRP". Rfam says of the family: RNase MRP is an enzymatically active ribonucleoprotein with two distinct roles in eukaryotes. In mitochondria it plays a direct role in the initiation of mitochondrial DNA replication. RNAcentral also lists the same sequence under 1 other name. Lineage: Eukaryota; Fungi; Ascomycota; Eurotiomycetes; Eurotiales; Aspergillaceae. The record is from RNAcentral.
UCCUCGCUCAAAGAAUCGCAUUCAAAGCUCACACACAGAGAGAUAUCUUUAUGAUUCUCUCUUCCUCCAGCUUUGGGAGAAAGUCCCCGGACAUCCUGACUGUUUAAACGUCCUCUUGCAGGGCCCAGUCAGGCAAUGCGGAAACGCGCCGCCAUAGAAGCAAUUCGAUAGCGGCUUAUACGCCCUAUUCCCCUCCCAGUGUUGUCUCUGUACCCGAACACAGGUUUUGACCGGCUUGUGGGUAACAAUGGUUGGUGCAGGGCAGUGCUGGAGAGGGGGUUUUAUCUGGGUUGCCUUUCGUCGUGUUUGGAUAGUCAUGCGAUUGCCCUCUUAUAUAUUUCUUCGAACAGACCUCCAUUCGGCUGAAAAGUUGGGGAGGAUUCAUCGGGAAAUCAAGGGGGUAACUCAAUGGGGCUCAUUCUUGAGGCGAGG